GUCAUCCUCGUCCCCUCGACUGAAAACUGGCCACCUCGUCCCCUCGACUCUUUGGAGCAGGCGAGCAGCCACAGCCCGCUGGUCUCCAACUCUCCACAAAUCUCAGCUCCAGUCCUCUCCUCUCCCACAUGUUCUUCUCCAACUCUCCAUCCAAUCGACGCUGAUCGGUCGCCGGCUCGUCGUCGGCAGAAGACAUCCGUGUCUCCCUUGCAGGAGAUCGGCCAUGUCUAUUAGGUCUUCUUCACUUAGAAGUGACACAGGUAGUGGAGGUAGCGUGGAUGCAGUCCAUCUAUUGGCUGCUGCUCGUGUGAUUCCGGAAGAUGAUAAUGAGAAGAAGCCUUUGUGGAGGUACGUCCAGAUGUUGGAAAAUACUGGGAAAGGGAAAUGAGGCAACAAGAGAUCCAUGCAGUAUUCGUUAAGCAAUUGUGAAGACUUCAAUUUUUUUUAAUAAAACAGUGCAUUUCCUACAAAAAAGACUCGUUAUUUUUUUCAUAUAUUUAAU
RNAcentral lists this ribosomal RNA (502 nucleotides) under Triticum aestivum (bread wheat). Its description in RNAcentral is "partial small subunit ribosomal RNA". Lineage: Eukaryota; Viridiplantae; Streptophyta; Magnoliopsida; Poales; Poaceae. The record is from RNAcentral.